This 45-nucleotide non-coding RNA is filed under the name Schistosoma bovis. Lineage: Eukaryota; Metazoa; Platyhelminthes; Trematoda; Strigeidida; Schistosomatidae. RNAcentral also lists the same sequence under 1 other name. The record is from RNAcentral.
AUCCAUCUGACGAGUCCCAGGUAAGACGAAAUGCGCGUUCUAGAU